Molecule: ribosomal RNA, 147 nt
Filed under: Cercozoa sp.
Lineage: Eukaryota; Cercozoa
Description: partial small subunit ribosomal RNA
Rfam family: Eukaryotic small subunit ribosomal RNA
Source: RNAcentral
AGUUGGUGGAGUGAUUUGUCUGGUUAAUUCCGUUAACGAACGAGACCUCGACCUGCUAAAUAGUUUGGCGAAGCUUUCGGGCUUCGUGCAGACUUCUUAGAGGGACUAUCGUGUGUGUAGCCGAUGGAAGUUCGAGGCAAUAACAGG